CGCCCCUUGAUUUAAAACCAUAGGGGGUACUGCCUGCCCAGUGAUAAAUAUUCAACGGCCGCGGUAUUAUGACCGUGCAAAGGUAGCGUAAUCACUUGUCUUUUAAAUAAAGACCAGUAUGAAUGGCAAAACGAAAACUUAACUGUCUCCUUAAAUUGAUUAAUGAAAUUGAUCUCCCCGUGCAGAAGCGGGGAUAGUACUAUAAGACGAGAAGACCCUAUGGAGCUUUAAAUUUAAAUUAACUAUUAAAAUAUAAAAUAUAAUAAAUAAUAUAAACAAAAAUUUUAGGUUGGGGCGACCACGGAGCAAACUUUAACCUCCGAGAUAAAUAAUUAAGAAUUACACUUCAAAAUAAUAAAAUAUUAGUAUAUUUGAUCCAAUAUUUGAUCAACGAACUAAGUUACCCUAGGGAUAACAGCGCAAUCUCCUCAAAGAGUUCAUAUCGAUGAGCAGGUUUACGACCUCGAUGUUGGAUCAGGACUUCCCAAUGGUGCAGCAACUAUUAAAGGUUCGUUUGUUCAACGAUUAAAGUCCU
RNAcentral lists this ribosomal RNA (535 nucleotides) under Hydromantes brunus (limestone salamander). Its description in RNAcentral is "partial 16S ribosomal RNA". It matches the Rfam family "Bacterial large subunit ribosomal RNA", at positions 1816 to 2597 of the family's 2925-position model. Lineage: Eukaryota; Metazoa; Chordata; Amphibia; Caudata; Plethodontidae. The record is from RNAcentral.